GACGAACGCUGGCGGCGUGCCUAAUACAUGCAAGUUGAGCGAUGAAGCUUGGUGCUUGCACCAAUUUGAAGAGCAGCGAACGGGUGAGUAACGCGUGGGGAAUCUGCCUUUGAGCGGGGGACAACAUUUGGAAACGAAUGCUAAUACCGCAUAACAACUUUAAACAUAAGUUUUAAGUUUUAAAGAUGCAAUUGCAUCACUCAAAGAUGAUCCCGCGUUGUAUUAUCUAGUUGGUGAGGUAAAGGCUCACCAAGGCGAUGAUACAUAGCCGACCUGAGAGGGUGAUCGGCCACAUUGGGACUGAGACACGGCCCAAACUCCUACGGGAGGCAGCAGUAGGGAAUCUUCGGCAAUAGACGAAAGUCUGACCGAGCAACGCCGCGUGAGUGAAGAAGGUUUUCGGAUCGUAAAACUCUGUUGGUAGAGAAGAACGUUGGUGAGAGUGGAAAGCUCAUCAAGUGACGGUAACUACCCAGAAAGGGACGGCUAACUACGUG
RNAcentral lists this ribosomal RNA (497 nucleotides) under uncultured bacterium. RNAcentral's name for it is "partial 16S ribosomal RNA". It matches the Rfam family "Bacterial small subunit ribosomal RNA", at positions 28 to 507 of the family's 1533-position model. The record is from RNAcentral.